Molecule: ribosomal RNA, 429 nt
Filed under: Actinomycetes bacterium
Lineage: Bacteria; Bacillati; Actinomycetota; Actinomycetes
Description: Actinobacteria bacterium partial 16S ribosomal RNA
Rfam family: Bacterial small subunit ribosomal RNA
Source: RNAcentral
UAGGGAAUCUUCCGCAAUGGGCGAAAGCCUGACGGAGCAACGCCGCGUGAGUGAUGAAGGUCUUCGGAUCGUAAAACUCUGUUAUUAGGGAAGAACAAAUGUGUAAGUAACUAUGCACGUCUUGACGGUACCUAAUCAGAAAGCCACGGCUAACAACGUGCCAGCAGCCGCGGUAAUACGUAGGUGGCAAGCGUUAUCCGGAAUUAUUGGGCGUAAAGCGCGCGUAGGCGGUUUUUUAAGUCUGAUGUGAAAGCCCACGGCUCAACCGUGGAGGGUCAUUGGAAACUGGAAAACUUGAGUGCAGAAGAGGAAAGUGGAAUUCCAUGUGUAGCGGUGAAAUGCGCAGAGAUAUGGAGGAACACCAGUGGCGAAGGCGACUUUCUGGUCUGUAACUGACGCUGAUGUGCGAAAGCGUGGGGAUCAAACAGG